This 519-nucleotide ribosomal RNA is filed under the name uncultured bacterium. RNAcentral's name for it is "partial 16S rRNA". The record is from RNAcentral.
UACUCCCCAGGCGGAGGACUUAGCGCGUUAGCUACGACACUGAAAGGCUUACCCCUCCAACGUCUAGUCCUCAUCGUUUAUGGCGUGGACUACCAGGGUAUCUAAUCCUGUUUGCUCCCCACGCUUUCGUGCCUGAACGUCGGUACUGGUCCAGGAAGUCGCUUUCGCCACUGAUGUUCCUUCCGAUAUCUACGCAUUUCACCGCUACACCGGAAAUUCCACUUCCCUCUACCGUACCCUAGCUAUUCAGUCUCGAAUGCAAUUCCCAGGUUGAGCCCGGGGCUUUCACACCCGACUUAAAUAACCGUCUACGCACGCUUUACGCCCAGUAAUUCCGAUUAACGCUCGCACCCUCUGUAUUACCGCGGCUGCUGGCACAGAGUUAGCCGGUGCUUUUUCUUUGGGUUAGGUCAAGACACACUGGUAUUAGCAAUGUGCUUUUCAUCCCCACUAAAAGUGCUUUACAACCCGCAGGCCUUCUUCACACACGCGGCGUCGCUGGAUCAGGGUUGCCCCCAU